AGGCAUAGAGCAGAGAGAAGAUGGGUGGAAAAUUUAUUUGUACUGAGGAAUUGGCCACAUGGUCCAGCCUAACUGGAUGGGCAGAGAAGUAUGAAUUCCUGCCAGGUGGAAGAGGAUAACCAGGUAAGAAUAAGCACCCAAAGCCUCUAGCAAUUUUCUUUUUUAUUUUGUUUCACUAUGUAUCUUCUGCUAUUUCCUCUUCAAAUAAAUAUUCAUUCACUCUUAUUCUUCUGGACUGUAAAGUAGCAAUAUAUUCCCAGGCAAAAGCAGCACAGUGUCAUUUCUCUGUACUGAAUUUCGUCAUUGACACUCAACAUUGUUAUACUAGAGCAAAUAGAGCCUGCCAAGGUUCUUAAUGUAUUCUCCUAGGAAUUCCUGUUGAGUUUUGGUAUCUAGGGACCAAUGAAGAUUAGCUUUACACACUUCUGCCUGGUCUUCUUGCAUUUGGGAAUGUGAGCACAAUUAAUGUUGUCUUUUAAUGACAGAGGGAAUUAACUCUGUAUGUUAGCUACGUUGAUAGAAUGUACUCAGAGGUUCAGGUGGCAGUCUGAACUUCUCAACUUUGGAGGGCCUAAUACACACUCAAUUCUUUGGAAAAUCCUGAGAACAACAAGUGAGAGAGAGAAAAAGUCCUUUUCCAGCACUCAUAGGAAGAGCUUUUACAUCACUAUGGAAUAUGUCAGAGAAUAUACAGAGAGAAGAGUCAAGUACAGAUCAUUGGUGAAGUGGAAGUUUCCAUGAAGAUAGGAAAAAAGCUGCUGGAAAAGGGGGGCAAUGCAUCAAUAGUGAGGUAGAAACAUAGACCAAAUAGACAUUGAUCUCAAUCCAAGGUUUUGGAAAACGAUAAAAGUUCAGGAGUCCUUGACUCUGUCCCAGUUUAUCCUUUUCCCAUUAAAAAAAAAAAAAGUGAGCUAAAUUUUGUCUUUUGAAUCUAUUAUAAAGAAGGAAUGCAGCAGAUGACGUGGUCAUUUGUGUAGACUGAACUAUCAUGUUCCUAGCAGUGAUGAUUCUAGUUGAGACAAGAACAAUGAUAUCAAAAUGUAUAUUAUUUAUGAGUGUGUGUAUGUGUGGUUGUGUUAUCUGAGCACAUGUAACACACGUAUAAGUAGGCAUGAAAUAGGUAAACAGACAAGAACUUUUAGGAAGUGGACAGUUUUCAUCUCAAUGCCACAAAGGGGGUUAUAGCAUAAUUCACAGAAGAAGCCGUGCAUGGCAUUCGUUCCACCCCUUCUCUACUAAGCAUACCAAUGGCAGACAGGACUAAGGAGCACUCCUUGCUUUCCCAUGGAACCCAGACAAGGCCUCAGCAUCCCUUUCAGCCCACUAUUAAAACAAGUCACUGUGCAAACCAGUCAAUCAAUCAUCAAUCUUUGCAUUCAAUUUAAAACCUAGUUUCUUUUUUCAUUUUUUAAAGUUUUAUUGAAGUAUAGUUGAUGUCCAAUAUUGUGACAUAAGUGACUCGGUUAUACAUAUACACACAUCCAUUCUUUUUCAGAUUCUUUUAUCACAGAAUAUUGGAAGAGUUCCCUGUGCUAUACAGCAGGACCCUGUUGGCCAGUCUUUCCAUAUACCACAGUGUGCAUGUGCCAGUAUCAAACCCCCAGUCCAUUCCUUCCCACAAGCUGUCCCCUUUGAUAUCCAUAAGUUAGUUUUCAACAUCUGAAGUCUCUUUCUAUUCUGCAUAUAAGUUCAUUUGUAUCCUUUUUUUUUUAGAUUCCACAUAAAGGUGAUAUCAUAUGAUGUUCAUCUUUCACUGACUAACUUCACUUAGUAUGAUAAUGUCUGAGUCCAUCUAUGUUGCUGUAAAUGGCAUUAUUUCAUUCUUUUCUAUGUUGAGUAAUAUUCCAUUGUAUAUAUGUACCACAGCUUCCUUAUCCACUCCUCUGUCAUGGAAAUUUAGGUUGCUUCCAUGUUAGUAUUAAAACUAGCCACUAAAUCAAUCAAUCAAUCAUCAAUCUUUGUAUUCAAUUUAGAAGCUAUUUUCUAUCAAAGAUCAGCAAAAUAUUUUUAUAUUUUGAAUGGAGGGAAGAUAUUUUUCUUCCCACUAAAAGCCUGGAAAGAUUAUCCACUUCCUUGCUCCUUUCUUUUAUUACUUUCUCCUGACUUUCCUUGAACAAACAGAUAUCAAGCAUUUACCACAUGCCAUGCAUGGUGCCAGGGGCUGGAGAGGGAGUGAUGACCAGGACACAGUAGGGAAACCCUAGGUAGUGUUCAUCAUUUAUAACCAUUGCCUUCUGGAAAGAUUUUCUCCCUUUGGCAGAAAGACUCCUACAUGGCCCUAGUUUCAUGCCACCAGUCUAGCAAUUCCUAUUCCAUCUCUGCCACCACCAUCCCAAUUUAAACUCUAGCAUCUCUUGUCUGUAUUGCUGCAGGGGCCACCUUGCUAACUCUCUAUAUUUGCUCUGAUCCCAUUCAAUUCAUUCUCCACAUUGGUAGCAGGGCAAUUUCACACUAGAUCAUGUGGUCCCCCUGCUUUAAACUCUCCAGUGGGUUUUUCUCUCUCUAAAACAGCUUUCAAGGCCCUGCACUAUUCAUUUUGGCCUUAUUUAUCCAGCUCCAUUCACUGCUCCUCUCUCUUCACUCUCUAUGAUCCAACCACAAUGCUCUUCUUCCAUUUCAUAAAUUCACCCUCUUCCUUUCUGCCUUGAGAUUUUGAGCAUGUUGCUUCAUAGCCUGGAAUGCUCUUUUCCCACAUCUCCCUCUAAUUAACUCAGUUACCUUUCAGAUUUCACAUCAGAAUUUCCUUUCUCAGAUAAUUCUUCUCUGAUCACCUGCCUCACUCCCAGACUAGAUUUAAUAAAUUCACAUUACUGUAUACCUUUCCUUUUUUCAUCACAUUUAAUGAUUAUGCAUUUUAUCUGUUUGAUUAUUUGAUGAAUGUCUGCCUUUCCUAUUAGACUACAAGCUCAAUGAGGACAUAAUGAGUGCAAGGAAGAUGUCUGCUUUGAUCCUAGGUGUGUGUAUCUUGCACAUGCAUAGUAGAUGCUCAACAAAAAGUUGAUGCAUGAAGCUAUCAGAAAACAAUUAACUCACUGGUUUUGUGAAUGAAUAAAGUUAGCUUACAAUCUAGUGAAGAAUAGAAAUAGACAACUGGAAUACAGUUUGAUAAGUGCCAUGAGGUAUAAGAACAGUGGGUUAUGGGCAAACAUAAGACAGCUGCCUAAUUCCAAUUUUGAGGGGCUCCUAUAGCAGAGAUGAGAAGGAAUUUCAUAAUCAGAGUGACAAUAGGCAUGUUCACAGAAAUGGAGCAGUUUCACAUUCCCAGUCUUUGCAUGGCUGUGUCCAGUAGCAAAUAAGAACAGAAAUACAAGCUGUGGAAAUUCAGC
This 3326-nucleotide long non-coding RNA is filed under the name Sus scrofa (pig). Its description in RNAcentral is "lncRNA (ENSSSCG00000054642.1)". The record is from RNAcentral. Lineage: Eukaryota; Metazoa; Chordata; Mammalia; Artiodactyla; Suidae.